AUGUAACUUUGGUUCUCUCACUAUUUUUUGUCCAAUAAAUAACAAACUCUUCUUUCAAUAUAAGGGCAAUAUAGACAAUUGAUAUUAUAGUUAAUGGUAUACAAUCAUUACCUUAAUACUUGUGCACAACCCUAAAACGACUUAUAUUAAGGAACGGAGGGAGUACAUAAAUUGUACUAAAAUAUCUUAAGGGAAACAGGACGUCUUAUUUCACAUAGAAUUACAAUCAAAUGUGGAUUAAUUAACCCGAGCAUCAAGUGAAGUUCAUAUAAAUAAUCAAAGAGAAGAAAUCAAAAUAUGGCAUUUGCACACCUAUAAGAUUAUGGGAAAGCAUUUUGCAAUUCUUUGUCUGGAAUUGAACAUCAACCUCGUUGUG
This 376-nucleotide long non-coding RNA is filed under the name Panax ginseng (ginseng). RNAcentral describes it as "long non-coding RNA (PGIN_LNC002437)". Lineage: Eukaryota; Viridiplantae; Streptophyta; Magnoliopsida; Apiales; Araliaceae. The record is from RNAcentral.